GAUGAACGCUGGCGGCGUGCCUAAUACAUGCAAGUCGAGCGAACAGACGAGGAGCUUGCUCCUCUGACGUUAGCGGCGGACGGGUGAGUAACACGUGGAUAACCUACCUAUAAGACUGGGAUAACUUCGGGAAACCGGAGCUAAUACCGGAUAAUAUAUUGAACCGCAUUGUUCAAUAGUGAAAGACGGUUUUGCUGUCACUUAUAGAUGGAUCCGCGCCGUAUUAGCUAGUUGGUAAGGUAACGGCUUACCAAGGCAACGAUGCGUAGCCGACCUGAGAGGGUGAUCGGCCACACUGGAACUGAGACACGGUCCAGACUCCUACGGGAGGCAGCAGUAGGGAAUCUUCCGCAAUGGGCGAAAGCCUGACGGAGCAACGCCGCGUGAGUGAUGAAGGUCUUCGGAUCGUAAAACUCUGUUAUUAGGGAAGAACAAAUGUGUAAGUAACUAUGCACGUCUUGACGGUACCUAAUCAGAAAGCCACGGCUAACUACGUG
Molecule: ribosomal RNA, 497 nt
Filed under: uncultured bacterium
Lineage: Bacteria
Description: partial 16S ribosomal RNA
Rfam family: Bacterial small subunit ribosomal RNA
Source: RNAcentral